Molecule: ribosomal RNA, 321 nt
Filed under: Triticum aestivum (bread wheat)
Lineage: Eukaryota; Viridiplantae; Streptophyta; Magnoliopsida; Poales; Poaceae
Description: partial small subunit ribosomal RNA
Source: RNAcentral
AUGAAGAUCUCCAACCAUAGCCACCGUAAUCAUCAUCCUCACUCCCACACAAGUCCACGCAGCCGCCAGGAGGCUCUCCCAUCUCACCUUGGGGGAGGCCUCUCUCUCUCCAUCACCAUCACCAUGAAGGCCAUGCAACAGGAGGAGAAGGAGGCGCCGCCACCAUCACCAGGCGCCGGCCAUAGGCUGGGCGCGCCGGUGCCCAUCUCCAUCUCCAUCCUCGUACUUGUAUUUUGUAAGAUUAAACAUGUUGAUGGCAACAAUAAAGCAUUCCUCUUUGUGUGCCUUUCAUCUAUGUUUGAGCAAUUGAUCUGGUUCUAG